This 497-nucleotide ribosomal RNA is filed under the name uncultured bacterium. RNAcentral describes it as "partial 16S ribosomal RNA". It matches the Rfam family "Bacterial small subunit ribosomal RNA", at positions 28 to 507 of the family's 1533-position model. The record is from RNAcentral.
GAUGAACGCUGGCGGCGUGCCUAAUACAUGCAAGUCGAGCGAACAGACGAGGAGCUUGCUCCUCUGACGUUAGCGGCGGACGGGUGAGUAACACGUGGAUAACCUACCUAUAAGACUGGGAUAACUUCGGGAAACCGGAGCUAAUACCGGAUAAUAUAUUGAACCGCAUGGUUCAAUAGUGAAAGACGGUUUUGCUGUCACUUAUAGAUGGAUCCGAGCCGCAUUAGCUAGUUGGUAAGGUAACGGCUUACCAAGGCGACGAUGCGUAGCCGACCUGAGAGGGUGAUCGGCCACACUGGAACUGAGACACGGUCCAGACUCCUACGGGAGGCAGCAGUAGGGAAUCUUCCGCAAUGGGCGAAAGCCUGACGGAGCAACGCCGCGUGAGUGAUGAAGGUCUUCGGAUCGUAAAACUCUGUUAUUAGGGAAGAACAAAUGUGUAAGUAACUAUGCACGUCUUGACGGUACCUAAUCAGAAAGCCACGGCUAACUACGUG